Long non-coding RNA from Teleopsis dalmanni, 465 nucleotides. RefSeq lists it as uncharacterized. Lineage: Eukaryota; Metazoa; Arthropoda; Insecta; Diptera; Diopsidae. The transcript is spliced from 3 exons. The record is from RefSeq and is a predicted model, not a curated record.
AAUAUAUUUUUCUCAAAAUUGUAAUCUUACUAGUUUACCUCUUCACUAGUUUACUUCAGUAGAAACCAAUAUGAUGGCCAAAUAACAACUUUUGAGUACAAAAUUUAUACUGAAGCUUACUUAAAUAAAGGACAAACUACUUAAGAAACGAACGUAUCAACAGCCUUCACACAAUAAACAUCGUGUGUUUUUUUUUGUUAAUUCGGAUUGUUGAUGUGUGUUGUGACGUUUAUCAAUAAUUUAUUUACAAGCUUCACCUCAAGCACAUGUUGCGGAUGUUCUAGCAAUUCAUGUCAACCCCUGCCAUCGCUACUCAAGAACUGAACUAAACUGACUGAGAAUUGAGGACUGUUACUAGAUUACUUAAUUCUAAUAAAAUCAAUCAGCAGAAAAUAGUGCAAGCCAUCAAACUGUUAUAGAAUACUAUUACCUGUGUCAAGAAAAACAAAAUGAAUUCAUACAGAA